GAUGAACGCUGGCGGCGUGCCUAAUACAUGCAAGUCGAGCGAACAGACGAGGAGCUUGCUCCUCUGACGUUAGCGGCGGACGGGUGAGUAACACGUGGAUAACCUACCUAUAAGACUGGGAUAACUUCGGGAAACCGGAGCUAAUACCGGAUAAUAUAUUGAACCGCAUGGUUCAAUAGUGAAAGACGGUUUUGCUGUCACUUAUAGAUGGAUCCGCGCCGCAUUAGCUAGUUGGUAAGGUAACGGCUUACCAAGGCAACGAUGCGUAGCCGACCUGAGAGGGUGAUCGGCCACACUGGAACUGAGACACGGUCCAGACUCCUACGGGAGGCAGCAGAAGGGAAUCUUCCACGAAGGGCGAAAGCCUGACGGAGCAACGCCGCGUGAGUGAUGAAGGUCUUCGGAUCGUAAAACUCUGUUAUUAGGGAAGAACAAAUGUGUAAGUAACUAUGCACGUCUUGACGGUACCUAAUCAGAAAGCCACGGCUAACUACGUG
Molecule: ribosomal RNA, 497 nt
Filed under: uncultured bacterium
Lineage: Bacteria
Description: partial 16S ribosomal RNA
Rfam family: Bacterial small subunit ribosomal RNA
Source: RNAcentral